RNA transcript from Balaenoptera acutorostrata (minke whale), 2640 nucleotides. It is a transcript of the gene named transcription elongation factor A1, with no coding region annotated. Lineage: Eukaryota; Metazoa; Chordata; Mammalia; Artiodactyla; Balaenopteridae. The transcript is spliced from 10 exons. The record is from RefSeq and is a predicted model, not a curated record.
CUGAGGGGGAGGAGCGCCGCUGCCGCCGACGCCUACGCCGCCGCGGGCUCCGUGAGUGAGGAAGCGCCUCGGUCAGGCCUGCUGAGGGCCGUUGCCGACGCCUGGGCUCACCCGCCGCCCCGCCAGCUCCGCUCGCUUCCCGUCCCCCGCGGCCCGGCGCGGGGCAGGCCUGCCGGGGCCAUGGAGGACGAGGUGGUCCGCAUUGCCAAGAAGAUGGACAAGAUGGUGCAGAAGAAGAACGCGGCUGGAGCAUUGGAUUUACUGAAGGAGCUUAAGAAUAUUCCCAUGACCUUGGAAUUAUUACAGUCCACAAGAAUCGGAAUGUCAGUGAAUGCUAUUCGCAAGCAGAGCACAGAUGAAGAAGUUACAUCUUUAGCAAAGUCCCUCAUCAAAUCCUGGAAAAAGUUAUUAGAUGGACCAUCAACAGAUAAAGACUCUGAAGAAAAGAAAAAAGAUACUGCAGUUACAUCACAGAAUAGCCCUGAAGCAAGAGAAGAAAGUAGCUCCAGUGGCAACGUAAGCAGCAGAAAGGAUGAGACAAAUGCCCGAGACACUUACGUUUCAUCUUUUCCUCGGGCCCCAAGCACUUCUGAUUCUGUGCGGUUAAAGUGUAGGGAGAUGCUCGCUGCGGCUCUCCGAACGGGAGAUGACUACAUCGCUAUUGGAGCUGAUGAGGAAGAAUUAGGAUCUCAAAUCGAGGAAGCUAUCUAUCAAGAAAUAAGGAAUACGGACAUGAAAUACAAAAAUAGAGUACGAAGUAGGAUAUCAAAUCUUAAGGAUGCUAAGAAUCCAAAUUUAAGGAAAAAUGUGCUGUGUGGGAAUAUUCCUCCUGACUUAUUUGCUAGAAUGACGGCAGAGGAGAUGGCCAGCGAUGAGCUCAAAGAGAUGCGGAAAAACUUGACCAAAGAAGCCAUCAGAGAGCAUCAGAUGGCCAAGACAGGUGGGACCCAGACGGACUUGUUCACAUGUGGCAAAUGCAAGAAGAAGAACUGCACUUACACACAGUAUUUUUCACCUGACUUUGCCGCAGGUCCAAACACGGAGUGCUGAUGAACCGAUGACAACGUUUGUUGUCUGCAACGAGUGUGGAAACCGGUGGAAGUUCUGUUGAGUUGGAAGAAUUGGCAAAACGUCUGGACCAUUAAGAAAAUGGAUUUUGUAAUUAGCUUUAAGACUAGGCCAACCAACUAGUUGGCAAAUCAGAUUUUUAAAGUAACAUAUAUCCCUUGGGUUAGUCUCUGUUUUUGACAUAGGAUCCCUUCCUUAAAUGCCUUCUGUAGUUUCAGAGCAGUAAGGAGACCACAUAAUAAUUGUAUGGUAUCUGUUUCAAAACUUUUUUUUUUCCAUUUUUAUAAGUAAGUUGAUAUUAAAUUUUUGGCAGUUUAUUUUUACCUUUUUUUUUCCUUCAUAAAGGAAAAUGUACCUUAACUUUUUUACAAUCUGAAACAUACACAGUAAAAAUGGUAUUCUUCUCAGUUAAUACACAAAUGGAAAUUACAUUUUUUCCCUAUAUUGGCAUGUACCUGCAAAUAUUAAAAGAGGAGAAGAGGUAAUGUAAUUAUAAGUUUAUCAAACAUGGUGUGUAUUCAGAUAAUACUUGACCAGCUUAUCUAAAUUGUACAUAAUAUUUCAACUAGCAUAUGAAAUUGAUUUUAAUUAUUAUGUUCACAAGUCUGGGAUAAUUAGUUAUUAUUUUGCAUUUGUAACUAACUGUGAUCCUCAUUUCUUGUAAUUUCUUGUACAUGUUUAUUACUUGUUUGUAAUAGAUUUUACUUUUGGAAACAUGACUUGACUUUGUUGAAAUCAGUUUGGUUUGUUGUUUAUUUACCUGUUUGACUUUGUAGUGUAUUUUACUUUUGCAGAACACUGUUGUAGUUUAGUAGGCUUUUCCUAAAUCCCAGCUCAGGCAAAGAAUGAAAACUUCUGUUUUUUCCUUUUGUAGGAAGACAUACUGGGAAGAAAAUGUUAGCAUUUUAGGAUAGUGUUGUUCUUACAAACAGUUCAUGACUUAACUUUGAUUUGGAAAUCUGUGCUGACCAAGGACUUUAAGGUUUAUAUAAAUCAUUAACACUGUGGCCUUUCCGUAUGGACACUAAUGGAGCACAUUUCUGUCCUGACUCUCUUUCUGUCACACAAGAAUGAGGUUGUGGAACAGACUAAUACUUGGGCUGUAACGCAGCUGAUUCACAGGAAGGACCUUACAGUUAAGCGUGUGCCAUCUGUUUUGUUAGGAAUAAGAAAAAAUGAUUUUCACACUUGGUCUAGCACAUCUUAAGGCCACUGUUAACAAAGUCCACGUUUCACUGUGCUCCGUCUGUGCCCUCAAACCUCUAUAGGAAGAUCUGAGUACCUGCUUUGCACUCCCCUUCGCUCCCUUUUCUCCACUGCUUCCUGCAGGUCAGUUUGAUGUAAUAGAGAAAACAACAUCUAAAAGUCCAUGUUCAGACCCCACAUAGAGGAACUGGCCCACUGGUACCAUCCCACCUCUACUUUGUCAGGUCACAGAGUAACCUUUUAUCAUUUGAAAAAUAACGUGCAUUUUUGAAAGAAUGAAUUUAAUAAGAAUAAAAUUAAAAUAGUCCCACUUUUAAAUUAAGUGAUCCAUUUUUAAAUUUGUUAAUAAAGUUUCUUGUUAUUAAA